RNAcentral lists this long non-coding RNA (1487 nucleotides) under Helianthus annuus (common sunflower). RNAcentral describes it as "hypothetical non coding rna". Lineage: Eukaryota; Viridiplantae; Streptophyta; Magnoliopsida; Asterales; Asteraceae. The record is from RNAcentral.
UCACACUAAAUCAGCUAUAUGCUGCCAAUCAACCACCCCUAACCUCCUUCAUCGUCUGUCUUCUCUAUGGCUUCCACAGAGAACAACAGCAGCAACAACGCCGCCACCAUGGCGGCGAUGGCGGCGACCAGCCGGAGUGUUUAAUGAAUAGGGUUUUCUUUGGAUUUGUCAUUUCUUCAUCGGUUAUUGUAACCCCGGAUCAGAUUUUAAGAAGUGGUUUGGGAAAACCCAGAUCAAAGAAGUGGUUUUUUAUCUUUCUGGUGAUUUAAAUGAAGGGAUCAAGAGGAUCAGUGAGGCAAUUGAUGGGUUAGAUGUUGGGAUUUUGAUAAAUAAUGCAGGGGUUUCGUAUCCUUAUGCUAGGUUUUUUCAUGAAGUGGAUGAUGAGUUGUUGACUAAUUUGAUUAAAGUCAACGUUCAGGGGACUACUAGAGUGACACAUGCUGUGUUGCCUGCUAUGGUGAAGAGGAAGAAAGGUGCUAUUGUGAAUAUUGGAUCUGGUGCUGCUAUUAAUAUUCCUUCUGAUCCUCUUUAUGCUGUUUAUGCUGCUACUAAAGCGUAAGUUUUUUUUUUAUUAUUAGUAUAAAGUUUUGAUUUUAAAAUUUGGGUACAAGAAUAGUGGCAUUGAUGUGCAGUGUCAGGUACAUUGUUGAAUGUUUUACUUCAUAGAAAUUUUAUUAAUUAGCAGUAUACUAAGUCGGAUAUCCGUCGUUAUCGUUUUAUUUUUCUCAUAAAAAUGUUGAUCGGUUAUUGUAACCCCGGAUUAGAUUUCAAGAUUGUUUUGUCUGUCACUCGCUUUUCUUGAUCUGAGAUAGAUACAAGUCCUGUAUCUAUUUGUGUGUAUGAAAUUGGGCAAUUGUGAGUUAGAUGUCUCAAUUGUCUGAACCUCAAGGCUCUUCUAAAGCUUUUCAACAAAGGGGUUUUCGUCUUCAAGCUCCACUGGUGAGUUUACAUAUAGAUUUUGUGUUUAGAAGAAACCCAGAUGAAAUUGUUGUGACAUGAGUGAUUUUUCUUGAAUUUUUGUCAAUUGGGUGUGAUAUAGGUUGUGGGUAUUUAAUCGGUGGUUUACUUAUAACCAGGUGGGUGGUCGAGGCUGAUGGUGGUGGAGGUGGGUGGUGGUGGCGGCUGAUGGUGGUGGGGGGUGGAUGGUGGCGGCUGAUGGUGGGGGGUAAUUGUGCGACAUAACAAGAACGUCGGGGGGUAAUAUUAAAGGGCAAUAUAGUCAUUUCACAUUAAAGUUAACAGAUCUGUUAACAAAUUUGAGGCCGGGGGGUAAGGUUGCGACAUAACAGCAAACGUUGGGGGGUAAAAUUGUAAUUAUUUCGUUAGGGGGGGGUAAGGGUGCCAAUCACCCCAAACCCCAGGGGGUAAAAUUGCAGUUUACUCUAAAUAUAAAUUGAAUUUAUAGUUUAAUAUAUACCACUCUAACUAAUAGAUUUUGGUUCACUAUAUACAAAUUUACAACUAUAUCUAUACGUACUAACCCAAUC